Molecule: long non-coding RNA, 587 nt
Filed under: Homo sapiens (human)
Lineage: Eukaryota; Metazoa; Chordata; Mammalia; Primates; Hominidae
Description: HSALNT0347674
Source: RNAcentral
UGGGGCCCAGGGGCAUCAGCAGCCGCGGGCUCUCGGCCGCCGCCUGGGAACUCAGGGAUCUUCCUCUUACUUGACUGGGGAAUCCAAUCAGGAGCAGUGAAAGAUAUGCAAAUACCUUGAUGAUUUGCUCUUAUAAGGACUCAUCACUUCUCAAAAAACUUCCAAAUACACCUAAAAUGAGUUAUUCUUAAGAAGGAGAAUGAGGAUCCAACCCUUUAACUGAGAUCAAGAUCUAUUCCUGAGCAUCAAUGAGAGAAGACUGGACCAUGUGGGAACAGCUUAGAGUGAAGCCAACUCCCCAGGAGACCAAGUGAGGAAUGCAACACUAGGAUUCUUGACCAGAUUUCUACUAAAGCAAAGACUUAAGAACAGAACUGCAUGCUCCACAAGUAAACCCCAAUGGCCAGCAGAACGGAAAUGCUUCAAAGUUUGACUCAUGAAGAGUGGACCUCAAGUUUAUGACUUUUAGAUUAUAUUUCCCUAGACAUACUACUUGCACUUAUCUAGGUUCAAUCUCAUUUGCUCUUUCCUGACCAUGCUUUUGGCCGAUAGCUGAUAGUACUUUUGUUGACUUUGGUUUACAGUUG